This is a non-coding RNA of Acanthosepion pharaonis, 99 nucleotides long. NCBI's taxonomy places the organism in Eukaryota, Metazoa, Mollusca, Cephalopoda, Sepiida, Sepiidae. The record is from the annotation of a GenBank genome assembly.
AAUGAAACACCGGUUCCCGUACGAUCACCGAAGUUAAGCAACGCCGAUCCCAGUCAGUACUUAGAUGCGUGAGCCCUUGACAAUACUAAGUGUUGUAAG